GACGACCAUGAGAGUGGCAGAGGAAAAUAGGGCCUUUUUAGGGAUUCUCUCGUCUGGAGGGCAACUUCAGAAAAGGGCUUCUUGAUGCCUUAGUGAGAGAAGUGGAUGGCCCUUUCGAUUUUUAGAUUUAGUAGAGAGAGAAAACAAGGUUAACAAAUCAUGAGAACAAUUUUCCUCUCUUUAUAUAAAUAAUUAUUAAUUAUCCAUCUUUAUUUUGAUUAAAUCACUACCGAAAUUUCGAUUUUUAUUUUGAAGGACCCUAAAUACAUCCAACCAAACAAUAAUAAAUAAAUAAAGAUGGACAUCACGGGUCCAGGGAGGGCUCAGAUCCGCCCGUAAUCAGACAAGAUCCAUGUUCGCCAUGGCUGCAACUACAGUUGCAUGUGAAAAAAGGGCAUAGAAACCCAUUUCACAGACAAUCCGGGUCGCCCAGCCAAGGACAGGUCCUUUCAAAAUGUCUGAUUUACUUGGAAAGUGUCAUCACAGCCACUUAAUUUUCCUGCACAUUUUCUCAGCAACCGAACAGAUACAAGAUCCUUCUCAGAAAACACAUUUUAAAACACAAACAAAAAAACCAAAACAAAACAAAGACCAACCUCAGCGCGGAAGUGAAUAGCGCGUAAAAUGAAGGCUCAGAUUCGCCUUUUAUCAGACAAGAAAAAGAUGACCGUCAUGGCUGCAACCACAGUUGCUUGUGAAACAAGGCACAAAAGGUCCCAUCGCACAAACCAUCCGGGUUGCCCUGCCAAGAAACGGACAUUCCCAGUGCCUGACUUACUCUGAAAACGUCAUCACAGCCUUUUAUGUUGCCCAUAUGAACAGAGAGAGAGAGAGAGAGCUGUUGAUUUUCCAGAGAAUCAAGACAGCCUCUGAUAUAUAUGUACACACAUGUGUAUGAAAAGAAAGAAAAGAAAAGAAAGAGCGAAGGAAAAGGGCUGUUGAUGGGCGUCGUAGAAGUAAUCAUCGGCUCCGAAGACCAUGAGAUUCAGAGAGGGGCAACCACCCUUAGAAACUCCCCAUCCCUCCGACACGGUCCCUGGAGCCUCAGUCUUAAACUAAUGAGGUCUAGCCCUAACUUUUACUCAUCCUUUCCCUUUUAUACUACUCCCUGUCUUCUUCUUCUUUGCUUUUAUUUUACUUUUUUGACCUUUCUACCCUCACUAAACCCGGUAUCAAGGAUUGAAAUGUCGAAUUUCGGGAAAUUUCCCGAUAUUUCCUACCAGUCCAGCCCGCGCACAGGAUACAAAAUCUGUCCAUUUUUUAAAAAAAAAACACAAGAUGUUAUUUGGUAAUCUGAUCAUGAUUUGCAGGCAAAGGUUGUGUUUUUCAGCCUGGCUCAAAAAUCGUGGAUUUAGGGUUCGUGAAAUUUAAAUCCAAUGGCACAAAAGCAAAGAGACCCCUAGAACAGAUCCAGAAAACACAGGGAGCAAAAAAAAAAGCAAUUUUUUUGGUUUUCCUUGGGGGUUUUGCGUGGAUUUUCUCGGAAAUCAAACGAGGAUGAAUUUUCCCGGAAAUCGAAUGGGGGAUGGAUUUUCUUGGGAAUCAAACGGGGGUUGCAAAAAAAAAAAUAACAUGAUUAGAUUAGUACCUGCGAGGAUUGAGAGUGGCAGAGGAAAAUAGGGCCUUUUUAGGGAUUCCCUCGUCUGGAGGGCAACUUCAGAACAGGGCUUCUUGAUGCCCCAGUGAGAGGAGUGGAUGGCCCUUUCCAUUUUUAUAUUUAGUAGGGAGAGAAAACAAGGAAACAAAUCAUGAGAACAAUUUUCCUCUCCUAUAUAAAUAAUUAUUAAUUAUCCAUCUUUAUUUCGAUUAAACCACUACCAAAAUUUCGAUUUUUAUCAGUAAUAUUUUAUAAAUUAAAAUUAAUUUAAUAAGAUAAAUUAUUAAUAAUUUUAAUUAUUUAAAUAAAUUAAUGUUAAUAAAAAAUUUAUUACCACAUAUAUAUAAAAUAAAAUCUUAGAAAUUAAAUAUCAAAUAAAGUAUUUAUAUAAAUUAAUUUAAUUUUUCAUAUAAAAUGUAAUAAAAAUUUAUAAAUAAAUAUUGUCUUCAAUAAGAUGAUUCAUUAGAUGAAACCAUAUCAAUCUUCAUUUUGAUACUAAAGACUAUUACAAUAUCAUAUGUAUUAUAUUUAUGUAUAAAUUGUUUUUACUCAAUAAAAUCAAAUAUUUUUUAAUUCAAUUUUAAUUUUAUACAUUUUCAAAAUUCAUAUUUAUUAUUCUUAAAAUUCAAAUAAAUCUACUGAUGUUUUUCUUCUUGAUCAUAUCUAUAUCAAUUAUAUUUAUAAAAUAACUCUAAAAUAUGUAUUUUUACUUAUUUUAUCAUUUUUUUUAUAAUUUUCUAAAUAUUCCUAUAAAUUUUAAAUAAUUUUCGUUCCACCAAUAUUUUCAUUCUAAUCUUGUAUCUAUCGAAAAUAAAUGAAAGACAAUUUUUUACAACAAAAUUUUUUAUGAUUUUUAAAUCAAAAGUUAGUUUUAAAAUCUCAAAUAUUUUUAAUCCACUAUUAUGUUUUUAAAAUUAUAUAAUUAUUUUUUAAAAUAAUAAAAACAAAUAAAAAUAAUUAAGAUUAUGUUUAGUUUGUUAAAAAAAAAUAUUUUAUCAAAUUUGAUUUAAUAGUGAAAAUAAAAAUAAAAUAAUAAUUAAAAUUACUUAAAAACCAAUGUAACUUAAAUUUUUUUUUUUUUUGAUCUUUAGCUUAAAAAAAAAAAAUAAAUAAAAUGAAUUUGAAAAGAUAAUUAAUCUCUCUAAAAGGAAGAGACUCAAAAUUAUCGGAGGAAGAAAAAAAGGGAGUAAGAUUUGAAGGAUAAAAAUAAAGAAGGAACAAGUGGGUGGGUAUUGCAUUAUAUCCAUGAGUUGAUCAAUAACUAGCUCCAUUUCCUUUCCUUUAUUUUCUUGCCAGCCAAACAAAAUCUCAAGCCUGGAACCAUCAUCCCAGCAACCAUUUAUUAAAAGCCAUACACCAAGGAUUCGUAUAACACCAUGGAAUCAACCAUCAUCACCCUCUCAAACCUACAUGCCAAAGCUACACAGACUACUCCCAAGUUCCCAAAUAACCAAGCUUCAUAUCUACUAGCUCCAAAACGGUUAAACAAGAUGAAAGAAGGAAAGGAAGAGAUUACUUGAUGAGAGCCUGGUAAAGGCAGAUCUGCAAAAAUUACAAGCCUUGUCCACAUAGCUUUAUUUAUAGCCCCAUGAAAGCAGAAUUACUUCUUCAUUACCAAAUGUCAGUAUAGGCAAUGCCAGACCUCCAUCUUCCCAUGGCUGCCAAGCCCUUUUAUCAAUAUGUGAAGAUGCAAACCAAAAUGGUUAGCCCAUCAUCCAAAGCUAGCUCCUCCUCCUCCUCCUCCUUAUUUACACCUAACAGUUUCCCUGAUUCACAACAAGUUCAAUUUCCUUGCUUAACAUCUUUCAGAUAGAACAGAACAAUUACGAUUACAAUCACAAAAUGUAACACCACCCCACAUCUUCCUCUGUUUAGCUAAGCAUUACAAGACCUCAAAGUUGAUGUUCCAUCAUCAUAAUAGGCAUGGUGUAUUUCCAGUCUCAAACAAGUUAGGUUCCAUCCUAACACCAUAAUGGUGGGUUGUUUUACAUCAGACAACGAAUCUGAGUCAGUUAACAGGCAAAAAGAAACAUUCAAUAGUUCAAGAAGAUGGCUUAGAAUUUUCUGAAAACCUCAAAACUGUUUUCAUUUAUAAUUACAAACCAACCCAAAAGUUGAACAAUAUGAGGCACUGGGCUGAACAAUCACCUCAGAACUCUGGUAAAAAGAAUGAAGGUUUCUAUAGAUAAAAUGGCCUUUGCAAAUAAAGCAAUGAGAAAAACGGGAUAUAAAUUAAGGAAUAAUAGAAUGAAAAUGUUGAAAGGAAUUUCACAUGGCUUCGAAGAAUGAAUAGAUUCCGUACCCUUGCCGAGAAAUUACAUGGCUGCCUUGCCCCUCUGUUGAAGUACUAUAUCAUGCACAACUUCCCCUGCUGAGUUAACAAAGUAGGUUUCCUGCCAUGGAAAAAGAACAUUUGUUGGUGCUUCAACAAGAACAAAUUUAGUCAAAAAAGACAAAUACUCACAAUCUCUAAGGAGCUGACUCUAUGAAGAAGGAACCCAUUAACCAUUCCCCUGAGGAAACAAAGAAAAAAAUCACACAAACUUCAUAGUUUCAUAUGUAUGAACCAAUGUAGAACACCAUGAAGAACUAUGAACAGAAAUACUCACUUACUAAAACCUGAUAUUCCAUUUACAGAAGCAAGAGGAAGUUUUUCAUCUAUUGAACCUGGGUUCCUGAUGUAAGCUAUACUAUCUUUACGAGCAUAGUCACUACAUCCCUCCCCACUCAGGUACACAUCCUGGUGAGCAAAUGCAUGGAUAAAGCGUUACUUUCUUCAUAGGCACCAGAAAGAUUCCAAAUUUAACAUAUCAGAAAGUUGUUCAUUCAAUUCAUUAGGAACUGUCUUAGAUUUUCAUAUAUAUUGAAAAUUUGGACUUUGAUCAUCUCAAAAGCAAGUUCUCUAAAGAACCCAAAAUCAAAACCUUGGGCAUGGGAUGUCUUCACCCAUUGAUACUCAAUGGGAAGAGCCAUAAAUACUUACCACUCCAAACUUAUAAAAAAUAUGGUGUAGAUGCUCAUAAAGUUGUAUUUCUAUUCAUUCCCUGUUUCCUUCACAAACAGCCAAUGAGCAGAAACCAACAACUAUGCGCCUGGAUCAUAAGGAGGAAAAAAGGAGACAAUUAGUACUUGGGAUGGAUAGUUUCUUUAUUAAGUUAAACAUGGAGUUGAAAUGGUAGGGGUGCUUGGCAAUGGCAACAGGACAGCAAACAAUGAAGGUCCAACAUAGUAACCAGAGAAAACAAAAGGAAAACGAAUGUUUUAACUCCACAACAAUUUGGGUUAAGGCAAAAUUUAAAUGAAAACCAAAAUUUUAUUGUUGAAAGAAAGAAAAUUUGUGAAAUAAAAUUAAGUUGAGAAGUAGAUUAUCACGCAUCAGAACCACUCUGAACUGACAUGAUUUUCAAUUUUUUCAAAAUUUUCCAGACAUUACAACCUUGCUUAUUCCUAGGUUCAUGCAAUUAUAAACAGCCAAUAUGGUGCAAUGUCUAGUGUCUUUGUCAGCCCAUGUAAUUGAUCAUUUCCAGCACCAUUUAACGGAUUCAUAAGCAUAAAAUCCUUCAAGUUUCAAAGAGGAGCCCGAUUAAGAGGAAAGAAGAAUGAAAUGCAGCAUAAAGGAGCAGAAACCAAAAAAAAAAGAAACAAAUGGGGGAUAAAAUGUGUGAUAAAUACAUAUAUGGGAUAUUGAUAGUGUAACUAAAUGAAAUAGAUAUCAAAUCAAUCAUAUACACAUAUAAAUACAACAUAGAAAUAAGCAUGGCCAUGGUGAAAAAGGGCUGCAAUGUGGGUUGUAACCAGAGAAUGGAAUAUGGACAAGGAGCAUAAAAAAUGAUUUGGCAGGCCAAGAAAUGGCUAUUUUAAUAUGAUGAAAAAGAAAGAGAACAAAAGAAAUUCAUUAUGAACAUGACUUGAAGAGUACACCUACGCUCAAAUAAUGACCAAGUGAUCAACUUUAAAAUCACAUUCCUAACCUCAGCCCUACCCCUCAUGGAAAAAUGGAAAAAAAAAAAAUUCUUAAAAGGCCUUGAGAGGGGUAAACCUGCUGGGACUCAAACCUGGAACCACCCCACAUCCCCACCCCCAACCCAAGCUACUCGAGCCACACCUCAAGGGUGAUAAAGAUCUAACCUUCAGCAUUGAAUAAAAAAUAAUCUAAAUGUGCAAAAAAUAUCCAGCAUUUUCUCAUGCAUUUUAAUUGCUUACUAGACUAGAUAGAAUCUCCAGUCAUUGAUGAGAACAAAGAACUCAGUGUCUUUAUUAUUAUUAUUGAAUAAAAAAUAAUCUAAAUGUGCAAAAAUAUCCAUUAUUUUCUCAUGCAUUUUAAUUGCUUGCUAGACUAGAUAGAAUCUCCGGUCAUUGGUAAAAUUCAAUAAUUCCAAUUUCCACCAGUUGAUUUGUCAAGUCCCUAAUUAAAUAAUGAAAGAUACAAUACUUGAUGAGUUAUAUACUAAAAUACUUGUGCUUCCCAAUCUAAUUCUAACAAGAACCCUACAAAAUGCACACCUUAAUCCAACUCAACCAACACUCAAUCUUGCGAUUACCUCAUAGUCCACAAGGUACAUCGGAGAGACCUAACUUAUCUUGAUGUUACAAGAUUUCACAUGAACAUCUGAAUACUGGUUUCCAUAAUUCUUUGUUAUCAUACAUCUCCUGGGGCAUGGUAAAGAUGAAUAUAAAAACAAAAUGAAAUCAAUACAAGAAGUUGAUAGCCCCUCUAUGAUCAUAACUGGGGUCAGCACAAUCAGUAACAUAAGAUUCAUGGUGUAGUAUUGAAGUGUAUCAUAAACUCAACACAAGCAUAUGCAAUGUCAAUUAUCAUUAAGUCAACAAUGAUAUUAAACAUUGGUAUAAACAAAUGAAACAAUGACAACACAACAGGAAAAAACCUUAUACAACUAUUAAUCUAUCCUCUUUGGUAGUCUUUUAUCAUCUUCCACAAAUUUCCCAUUUUCCUCCAUAUGCUGCUCAGAAUCCGACCCCAUUUUUUUUGUAUCUUUGUCAACAUUAAAGGAAAUAAAUGCAUGCAACUUUUAAAGAUUUGAGGCCAUGUGAAAAACUUGUCAUUUGAUGUCAAGUUUUUUUUUAUAUGAAAAGGUUUUCCAAAAUGAGAAUUGCAGAACUAUCAAUCUAUCUUCAUCUAGGUUUGGAGCUUCUCAAGUCUUUUAUCAAUUAUCAUCCUCCAUAAAAUUCCAGUUUUCUUCUGUACAUUGCUCAACCUCCAACAUAAUUUUUAAUUUUUUUUCUAAUUAAGAUUAAAUACAUGCAUAUUUUGAAGAUUAAGCCAUGUGGAGAAUUGUCAAUCAAUCGUAAGUUUUUCCUAUAUCAAAUGCAUUUUUUAAAAUUUUCGGCCUUGUUGGAAAAAAGACCUAAUGAGAUGGGUUUGUAUCACAAAACACUAAGGAUUGACUCAAAAGUCCCAAUGAAAUUAUAGCUACUGUAAAAACCAUGUAACCGCUUCCAAACUUAAACCCAUAUUACAAGAGGAUAGUAGAAGAGGCCUCUCUUCCGACUGACAUAAUAACCAUGAGAAGUAUUAGCCAACAAAUCUUAAAUUGAGCAAAUUCAACAAACCAGUUGAUACCUUAAAUGCCCCAGUAUCCAAACCAAUAAUGUCUAAGGUUUUCCCAAAAGGUAUUUUGAUCUGCUUUAGGAAGUAACCUGUUCCCCGUCCUCUUGAAACUCUGGUACUGUACCUACAAGAAUUACAAUUCAGGAUUACCACACAAAGAGACUAAACCAAAAAGACUGUUACAUUAAAAACUACAUCGGAGUCCAAGUUUUGUAACAAUGAAAUUUCAAAAGAUGAGCUACAAAAAUGACACAACUGAUUGCAAAGCGGAUGGCAUACCAGGGAACUUUCAGUGUUGAAAAACGCCAAGUACCCUGUAAAAGAAGAUGUCAUCUUCUAAGAUUGUUCCUAACAGAUGAAACCAAUGAAAUCUAAUUAAACUCAGCACUAAUUUAUUUUCCAAUCACACACCUAUAAAACAAAACAAAAUAAAACUACAGAAAUAAAUAUGAACCACUAUUCCAUUACUUCAACCAAAGCAUGGUUUCUAUUAUUUCAGUUAAAUUCACAAAAAGUUAGGAGAGAAUCAUUUCUACAACUUACCCAGAGUGAAGCAACGCAUAACUUUGAUUAAAUCUGGCUAAACUACAACUAAAGUUUCCAUAUAAAUGGAGUGUAAGCCUAAAGGUGCCACAAGAGAGUUCAUAUAAAAAAUAGUAAAAGGGCUUCCCACAUUGAAUUUACUAGCCAUGGUCUUACAUUGUGUGAGUUGAUCGUCUUCCCCAAGUUCACUAAUGUUUAUCACAAACCUUGCCUUAUAAGUCUUUGCGGCCUUCUCCAUCUUCAUGGGAAAAAACAAUUCCAAUUAGAACAGGGAAGAUAAAAUAUAAACUCAAAAUGCAAUUAAUGUAGUAGACGAUAAUCAUUCAACUAAGAUCAGUAACAGAGGGGGGAAAUAACAAAGCCUAAAAACAGAGAAGGUGGAAGGCAGAAGUAAGUUGGAUGAAUUAGAACCAAGAAGACAAGACAAGAUCAAAACCAACAGAUGAGAAGGCUGACACAAACAAUUGAGAGAGAUCAAAAACUGAACCAUAUAAUAAAAAACUCACUCACAUGAUUAUUCUCUGGCCAAAAGAUAAAGGUUAUGUUAUUAUUUUUUUAUGUUUAGUUUCAAAGUAGAAAAUAAGCGAUAAAAUCAAAUAUAAUUAAAAUUAUUUAAAUUAUAUAUAUUUUUCAAUUAUUUAGUCUAUACAUAGAACAGAAAAAAUAAAUAAAAUGAAUUUGAAAUAAUAUAAAAAAUAAUUUAUUAAAUUUAAUUUAUUUUUAAAUUUUCUUUAUCGCUUUUUCUUUCUUCCUAUUUUUCUUUUCCAUUUUUUUCCCACAUUUUCUCUUAAAUUUUCCACUAAGCAAACAAAGCCAAAGAUCCUCAAGUUGCAUAUACAAUUAAAAACGGAAAAAGAAAGAUCUUCUACUGUUCAACAACUGUCAUAUUAAAAAAAAUAAUAAAAAUAAAAAUUCGAUCCCAGUAAAACCUAACACAAAAUUCUUUCCUCAAAGUUAAAUCAUUCACAUAGAAAUUAACUGAGAAAGAAAUAAUAAACUGUUUGGUUGCUGAGAAAAUGGAGGCAUAGAAAAGGAAAUCAAAAUUUUGAAACUCUAUUAUUUCCAUUAUUCGAAGGCCCGGAAGAAAGAGGGAAAAAACUUCCACUCUUACCUUAAUUUAGGUUGUUUUGUCAAUUUCGAGGGAGGAAAAAACAGGAAAUUAAUUUCAAGCGAUUUCACUUUCAGCAUUCUCAGUAACCAAACGGAGCGUCUGAUAAAACUAUCAUAUCCACCAACAGAGCCAAAACCAAAUAUACCCACCAUCAACAUCUUAAAACAAAAUCCAUAAAGAACGAGAAAAACCCAUGCUUUUCUUCAAUGAACAAAAGGAAUCAAUAGAGAGGAUGAGAAAUAGACCUGUUUGAGAAGAUGGGUCUGCUGAUUAAGAGGUCUAAAUCCUCCUCUAACACUGAUAAAGUAAAGGUCAAGAGGCCUGCUACUGCCACUGCUGCUCUGGGACAUGGGCUUCUCCCAAGGCCGACCCAAGUUGAAUGCACAAGCAGAGAGACAACUGUGUUAUAACAGUGCGAACCCAUGAAGGUUUCCCCAUUGUUAACACAGGUCUCACAGCCUCAGCUCUUCAACUGGUAAUUGAUUUCACUCAUAGAUCUGAAGAUAUAUGAGGAAUGUAACCGUCGACACCCGUAUCUCUAAUUUCCUCAGUGUUAUCAAUUGCUUGAUUAAGAUAUUCGCUAAUGAAGCUCCACUUGGCAGUUGGCAGGCAGGACCCAUUAUUGAAGGGAAAUGCCUCUACAGUUCGUUUAUAUUAUGGACUCUUUGACUAAAAUCGCUUUGUCAUAUUUGAAACUUUCCUCACAAACAAACGCACCAUCAGCCAUUAAACAUCAUAUUUCAGCAUUCUUUUUUUGCCCUUUUGAUAAUUGUGACACUGUCACACUCCUAUCUCCUAAUUUUCAAAAAUUAUUUUAAAUUUAUAAAUUGAGUUACCACUUCAAAAUAUAAAUUUUUAAAAUAAAAUUAAGUACAUUUAUACUAAAUAUGUGUAUUUGCGUUUAUUACCUUGUAAUAAUAUUUUAUUUAUUUUAUUCUUUAUUAUUAUUGUAAUUUAGAUGAGUUGGUUCGAUCUAAUCUAAUAUUUGAACGAAUUUGGAUAUUUAUUUUUAAUAUUCAGAUUAGACUUUGGUUCAUUUUUUAAAUCUCAUCUUAAUUUGGAUUUGGCUUGAGAGAUACCUCUAAUGAAAAUUAUUAUGGUUCUCUUUAUACAUUCUAUUCUAUUUUUCUUUUAAUAUCUUUGUUUAUUCUCUCGUCUUUUCUUCUUCUUAUUCUUUUAUUUCACAACAUGUUAUCAACACAGUUCUGAAUAUAUAGAAAAAGAGAAGAAUUCAUCUAGAAAAUUUCUUAUAGGUAUGUAGUCUUAUUCUCUUCGAAUGAAAUAUGAAUAGUAUGCAUUGUAUUAUUAUAAUUUUUAUUUACUUUAUCUCAUAGCCAGAAAUUAUGUGAAUCAUAUUUCAUAUAAUUACAUAUUUUAAUUAUUUAAUAACUAGAAGUUAUAUAGAAAAUUUUUCAUAACUAAAAGUUAUGAAAAAAAUAUGUCCAAUCUUUAUAACAAGAUGUUAUGGAGUAAAUUACAAAAAUACAAAUACGUAGUCGGAAACUAUGCAUAAGAUCCCUAAUUACUUUUUUAUUAUAUUAUAUAACUGAAAGUUAUAUAAAAUAACAUUAUAUGGCCAGAAGCUAUAUAAUGAAGAGUUCAUAAUAUGAAGCUAUGUACAAAUCCAAAAUUACAAAUAUACGACCAGAAGCUAUGUAUAUAACUCAUAAUUAUUUGUUUUUAAUUAUAUAGUAUAACUGAAAGUUAUACAAAAUAAUAUUAUAUAGCCAGAAGCUAUAAAAUGAAUAGUUUAUAGCUUGAAAUUAUGCACAAAUCUGCAUAAUGAAUAGCUCAUAGCUUGAAGUUAUGCACAAAUUUAUAUAAAAAAUAGUUCAUUGCCUAAAACUAUGUACAAAUUUAAAUAUUUUCUUGUUAUGACAAAAUAAUCAUAACUUGAAGUUAUGAAAGAUAUUAACUUUUAAUUUCUUUAUUUUCUUUUAAUUAUAUUGUGUAACCGGAAGUUAUACAUAAAUAGUUUAUAGUCUGAAGUUAUGCACAAAUUUACAUAAAAAAAAAAGUUCAUACCCUGAAUCUAUGUAUAAAUUUGCAUAUUUUUUUGUUUUGAUAAAAUAAUUAUAACUCAAAGUUAUGAAAAAAUAUUGGCUUUUAAUUUUUAUUUCAUAUUCACUUAUUUUUCACAAUAGAAAUCAUGGAAAACAAUUUUUAUUAACAAUGGUUUCAUAACCAGAAACUAUGCAAACAAUUUCUAAUUCUCUUGUAUAACCAGAAGUUAUACAAAACAAAAUUGUCAAUGAACAACUAUGUACCUAGAAGAUAUAUAAUUUUUUUUAAAUUUUGUUAUAUAAUCAGAAGUUAUAUCAUAAUAUAAUUGUCAAUUGUUUAAUGUUAUUAUAACAUUAUUUAAAUUUUAAUUAUUCAUAGCCUGAAGCUAUGAAGAUAAAGUUAGUAAAUUAUUAAUUAUUAGAGCUUGUAUAAGAAGUUAUAUGAAUAUAUAUAUAUAUAUAUAUAUAUAUAUAUAUAUAUAUAUAUAUAUAUAUAUAUAUUAUAACCAGAAGUUAUAUAAAUAUUAUUAUUCAUAAACCAAAGUUAUGAAAAUAAGAAAAUUAAUAUUCUUUGUGCUAAUCAAAUGUUAUGUCAAAGUUGCUAAUAUGUACUUUUUUUUAUAGUUAGAAGCUAUAGAGAACAAAAUUGUUAACUAACAAUUUUGUACAACUUUAUGAAAUUUAUAUGACCAAAAGUUAUAAUGAAAUAUAUUAUAGCUUGAAGCUAUGAUAACAAGCAUAUAGAUAAUAUUUACAUAUUAUCAAAAGAUUAAUAUUUUGUAUAUCAAGUUAUACAAAUAGACAAGUGUUUGAUAGUUUUUAUAAAUUUCUAUUAUUAGAAGUAUAUUGUCAUUAGUAGAAAAAUUUAUAUAUAGAUGUGGAAUUUUGAAUUGCAUGAAAGUAUGAUAUUUUUGUAUCAGAGGCGAUGGUUUGGAAUACUUUUUUUAUUCAAGUUAUUUAAUAUACAAUAAUAUUUUGAUUUAGAAAUUUGAGAUUUUUUGGGUACAUGUGAAAUAUAUGACUUGGUCAUAUGAUUAAUAAAUUGAUUUCGCAUGUCUUAUUUGUUUAUAACAUGUUUUUAUGAUUGAAAUUUUUUGAGUUGUAUAAAAUAAUAUAUAUUAUUGUAUGUUGUCACAUAUGAUAUUUUUAUUAAUGCAUUAAUUUCAUUAUUCAAGAAUAUCUUUUCAAAAACAAUAGAUUCAACUAUUAUUUUUAAUAUAUUAUGUUAUAUCUUUACAUACAUAUUUAUAUAGAUUUGUAAUGUUUCAAUUGAAGUUUUGAAAUAACAAGAUGCUUUAAAUCAUGAUAUGUUCUUUUGAAAUUUUGAUUUAUGAAUUAAUUUCUGCACAUUGAUUUAGAACGUAAUAAUAUUUUGAAUAAAAAUUAUUGAUUUAUCACUACAAUUAGUUUGAUUAUUGAAAGACUUCCUAGUUAUUUCAUAUAUAAAUUGCUCCACACUUAUAAAAUCAAAUGUGUGAGAUAUUUAAGAAACAUAUAACUUUAAAUUAUCUUUUUCAUAUUUGUUUUGUUGUGUUAUAUAUGCUUUCAUUGUUUUUACACAACUUAUUAAGGUAAGUCAUCAUCGAUGACUAGUAUUUUUCCAUUUGAUUUUAACUCAUUCUCUAUGAUAAUAUUUCUUCAACUUUGAGGUCUUUAUGACAUGUUUUAUGACUUGUUAUUUUGAUGAAACUCUUAUCUCAUUAAUUGCACAACAUUGAUAACAAACAAUGUUAAUACUAUAUCAGGUGAUAUAAACCUAAUUAAAGGCUCUAGAAUAACUUAUAAUAUGUCACUAGUAGUAUUUGAUUCCAUGUGAAUGACACUUUAUACGAUGAUAGAUCAAGAAGAAUCUUGUAAGACCAACUUGGUCCCCCAUGGUAAAAGGUCGUAUGGAUGUACAUUAUAAAACCAGAAGUUUUUAUUUAGUAACUAGUCUACCUAUACACUUGAAAGAUAGAAUGACACGUUGUGCAGAUUAUCAUUUUAAUUAGACAAUUUUCUUGCCGUUAGGGAUAGAAGAGUCAAUUCCAGAAGAACAGCGUGAAAUUAUUUGGAAUGCAUCGACUUUGACUUAUCUUGAUCCUCGUACUAAUCAAUGUGAAGUGGAAGUUCAAAAGAUUAUUUAUUUGCAAGAACUUGUAAAUCAUUAACUACAUGUUAUCAUUGAUGCAAAGAAAGUGACAAUCAUUUUCGCUUACCUAGAACAUUCCAGUACGAAUUAAUGUCCCUGAAUGACAAUUAAAUAAUGCGUUGAUGUCCCUAAAUGACAAUUAAAUAAUGAGUUGAUGUCCCUGAAAGACAAUUAAAUAAUGAGUCUAAUGCACACUUGAAGCGUGGUAAACCCUGAAAAGGCAAACAAAUUCCUUUAAAAGAAAAACACAAGGAAAGAUAUAUGAAAUGUGACACUCUUGAAGAAGUUGCAUAUAAAAUGAGUUAUUAAAAUGAUUGAUCAAUCUCAAGCAGCCCCUGAAGAGGCACAGUUUAAACAAGUAGCCCUAUGAUAGGUGUAUGUUUAAUAAUUAGUUCCUGAAAAUGUACAAGUACCUGAUAUUGAUGAGAUCUCAAUUAUUUACUUAUAUAUGGAAAAAAAAUGGGAUUGAAAUACUCUUGUCAUUAACAAUAUAUUUUCUUUCCAAAUAGCUGUUGACAUUAUAAGAAAUGAUGAGGAUCCCAAAGUAGAAACUAUGAAUGAAUGUCAACAUAGAAAAUAUUGGCCAAAAUGGAAAGAAUUCAUCCCGAAUAAAUUAUACUCAUUAGAAAAAUGAGAAGUAUUUGGACAUGUAGUCUAAACGCCUGAAGUUGUCAAACUUAUUGGAUAUAAAUGAGUAUUUAUAAGAAAGUGUAAUGAGAAAAAUGAAAUCACAAUAUAUAAAAUGUGACUCAUAGCUCAAGGUUUUCCGCAGAAACCUACUAUUAACUACGAGGAAACAUAUUCUCCUAUGAUGGACGCAACCAUAUUUAGAUAUCUAAUUUGUUUAACAAUCUUAGAAUGACUAGAUUUGCGUUUCAUGGAUGUCAUUAUUGCAUAUUUACGUGAAUCUUUAGAUAAUGACACACACACACACACAUAUAUAUGAAAAUCCCUGAAGGAUUUCAAAUGCCUGAAGCAACAAAUUCAAAACAUUGUAGCAUAUACUCAAUUAAGUUACAAAGAUCCUUGUAUCAAUUAAGCAAUCCAAAAACAUGUGAUACAAUCACUUCAAUGAAUAUUUGAAGCGAGAAAUAUGUAUGUAUUACCUUAUUUAUUUAUACAUAUUCAUUAUAUUGAAUUUUUUCAAUUAUUAUUGUAUAUGUGGAACAUUGAUUUUUUUUGGAACUCCUGAAGAGCUUACAAAAAUAGUUGACUAUUUAAAAAGUAAUUUUUGAAAUGAAAGAUCCUGGAAAACAAUUUUUUUUUCCUCGGCCUGCAGAUCGAGUAUUUUUCAAACGAAAUAUUAGUUUAUUAGUCAACAUAUACAAAGAAAUUCUUGAAGCACUUUUAUAUGGAUAAAUCACAUCCAUUAAGUUCUUUGAUGAUAGUUCAUUCACUUGAAGUGAAAAAUGACUCCUUCUGUCCUAAAGAAGAUAAUAAAGAACUACUUGGUCCAAAAAUACCAUAUUACAGUGUUAUUGGUGCACCGAUGAAUCUUGUAAAUUAUACAUGACCAAAUAUUGCAUUCUUUGUUAAUUUACUUAUGAGAUAUAGUUCUACACCAAUUCAAAGACAUUGGAAUAAAAACAAUCAUGUACUACAAUAACAUGGGUCUAUGUUAUUCCAAAUGAUCAGAAUCUUAAGUGCUUGAAUAUGUAGAUGUUGACUAUCUUUCACACCCCCACAAAGCUCGAUUUUAAAUGAGGUAUGUAUUUAUCUAUGGUGGUACGACAAUAUCGUGGAGAUUAAUCAUGCAAAUAAUGGAAACAUGUGGACUACCCUCCAUCAAAGGUAAUGCUACCAAGUUAAUAAUGUUGCAUGCAUUGCACAUAUUAAAGAAUGAUACAUUAAGGGUGAUAGAAUUAAGUAUAUAUCGUCCAAGUCUUUUACUUUCAUUAACUCAAAAAGAGUGAUGAAAUUGCUAUUCGACGACAAUUUAGUAGAUCUAUUCACAAAGGCAUUGCCAAUUGUAAUACUCAAGAAGCUCAUUGGAAUACAGCGACUCAAAGAUCUCCAUGUUGUGCUACUAGAGAAAAUAUAAUCAUGUCAACAUGAGGGGGAGCUAAUUGAUAAGAAUAUCACUACGCUACACUCUUUUUUCCUUCAUCCAAGUUUUGUCCCAUUGGAUUUUACUGGCAAGGUUUUUAAUGAGACAGUUGUGGUAAUCCAAAAAAAUAUUGUACUCUUUUUCUUUCACUAGGGUUUUUCCCAUAGGGUUUUUCCUAGUAAGGUUUUAAUGAGACAUUCUUAUGAUCAUCCAAGGAGGAGUAUUAUAAAAUAUGAGAUUUUGUAUCACUAUGGUAACUUGUGGAUGAUCAUUCAUAUUAAUGUACAUCUCUUUGUAACUCCCUAUAAAAAGGAGAUACCUCUAAUGAGAAUUAAUCCGGUUCUCUUCCUAUAUUUUGUUAUACUUUUCUUUGAAUAUCUUUGUUUAUUCUCUCGUUUUUUUUUUCUCAUUCUUUUAUUUCACAACAUAUAUAUAUUGUUAGGAAUUUGAGGCUAAUCCAACUUAUGGUAAUCACCCUAGAGGGGGGGGGGGGGUGAAUAGGGUGAUGGUCUCUUUUCGCAAAUUUAAACAAGUGAAUGUAAGAGACAAUUAUAUACAAAUAUCAAUAUAUAUAUAUAUAUAUAUAUAUAUAUAUAUAUUGUUAGGAAUUUGAGGCUAAUCUAACUUAUGGUAAUCACCCUAGAGGGGGGGGGGGGGUGAAUAGGGUGAUGAUCUCUUUUUGCAAAUUUAAACAAGUGAAUGCAAGAAACAAUUAUAUGCAAGUAUCAAUAUAUAGACAAUUGCAUAUAAAUUAAAGAGUAGGGAAGAGAGAAUGCAAAUACAAGAGUUUAUAGUGGUUCGGCGCAACCCGACCUACAUCCACUCUCCUCUAAUUUCAAUCCUGAGCUUGAGGUUCCAUUAAUCCAAGACUUCCAAACCAAGCCUUCAAGCAAUACAAUUGGAUUAUGGUUCCAAUUCACCCUCUUGGACUUUUGGCUCCAAGCACCCUUUACACUUCUCAAGAGAUAUCCCACUCUUGAACAACCCUUCAAGUGAUACCCCACACUUGAGAAACUUCCUCUCAAAGAUUUACAAAUGAAUGAUCUCUCAAAAAUCCUAGCACAAAAACUUUAAGCUCAAAUGAUACAAGAAAAACUAUGAUUGAAUGGUGCACUAAAGACAUGCAAGUUUUGAAAUAAUGGUGCACUAAAAAAUACUCUUCCAAGGCUCAAAUAUAAUCAAGAAAGAUUUGGGAAGAUUAAGCUCUCGAAACAAUGAAUAUUGGAGCCUUUUUAUAGAAGAAAAAAACCAAACUAGCCGUUGGGGGUUCGUCCGGUUGAGCUAGGGGUUGAUUGGUUGACUAGCCGUUAGCAUUUAAUGAUUGGUAGGUGACUGUUGGGCCUCAAUCGGACCUCGACCGGACCUCAACCGGUUGAUGUUCAACCUUGACCAGGAAGAGAAGGCCACUAGGAGAGAGAGAAACUUUUUAGCCUCCUUCAACCGGUCCUCGACUGAACGAGCACAACCGGUGAAUCGGUUGAACCGGUUGAAUCAUUUUUUGGCUCAAUACCCAACCUUUUUCAACUUAAAACCUUUUAACACAAGUUUGAAAAUCAUUUAACACAAGGUUUUAGUUAAAAAUAUGAAAUCAUCCAAUUCUUAAAAUUUUUAAAACAAUAUUACUUUUGGAUGAUUUUGAUGCAAAAAUAAAGAAUGAAAUGCAUGAAAGUCCUAGUGCACCAACAACCUUACAAAGAGAUCUUAUGAAGCUUUGGUCUUAAAAAAAUUUUCUCUUUGAGGUGAUCUUCUUCUUCAUGAUUUCUCCUUGGCUUGAUUUGUCUUUAUGAUUGCCACUUUGGAAAUCAUUUUGCCUAAUCACACUUGAAAUAUGACCAUUAGUUUUAAACCUUGUUUUGUUAUCAUCAAAAUCAAGAUUAACCAAACUUUGGUUUCACACACACACACACACACACACACACAUAUAUAUAUAUAUAUAUAUCAAACUAUAAUUAUAUAAUUUUUUUAAAUGUAUAAAUCCAUUUUAUUUUUUUAUUAUCUUAAAAUUUUUAUUUUUAAAUAUAGAAAUGUAUUUUUGUUAAAAAAUUAUAUUUCAUAUUUUUGUUCCAUUAUUACUUUUAUUCCUUCUUUUUUGUUUGAUUUUUGCAUGUUAUGUUGUCCAUUUUUCAUUUUUAUUUCUUUCAUUUUUUUUAUUUGGAAAAAAAUAAAUAAAAUAUAAUUAAUAGUGACAAAUGAAAAUAAAAAAAGAAAUGUUGAAAAAUAAAAAUAAAAUUGGUCAUUUUCGUGCAUUUUAUUUUAUUUGUGUGUUUUGAUUAUUCUCCUUUUUAAACAAUUGCAUAAAAGAAAAAAAAAUGAAAAUGAUUGUAGGUGAUUUUCUUGAGGAAAGUAUUCGAAAGUUGAUGUAUAAUGUCAAAGAAGAGUCUUCGUUGUAGGUGGGACGAGAGAGAAAGCUACUUUGAAUUUUGAAACUUUACCAUCUAAAAUCAAAACAAAAUCAAGUGCAAUUUAUGCAAUUUUGUAGGAAAUUAUUAUUAUUAUUAUAAUGGUAUAACAAGUUUAAUAUAAAAAAUAAAAAAAUUGUAGUAUAAAAAUAUUAUAAUAAAAUAAAUAAAUUUAUUUUUAAAAAUAUGAAAAUUAAUAUAAAAAUAUUAGGGAAAAAUUAUGUGUACACAUAAAAAAAUAAAAAAUAAAAAUUGAUGGAUUAAAUUACUAUUGAAAUUAUAAUCCGACUUAAAGUCAAAUUAGAAGAAUUUUAUGAAAUGUCAUAUCAAAACUAAAAUACUAAAAAAUGUGCAGAAUCAAAAGAAAAUUAUAAUUUUGUUCGUGAAAUUAUGACUAUAAACAAUAACUCAAUUCAUUUUCAACUCCAGUAAAAAAUUUGAUAAGUUGUGUAUAUGCAUGUCUUGUUUAAAUCUCAAUAUCUAUAAGAUCUAGUGAAUAAUAGUGUGGACUCCGCAUUUUGCACGAUGUGUUCUCACUCAAUAGCGUGACUUGCUUUUCGUUUAUUUGUGAAAAAUUAUGAUUUUUAGAAAAUACUUGGAGUCGCCACUUAUUUUUGUUUUAUUUUUUUAAGGGAAAACAAAGUAAGAAAAAAACUCUAAGUGUGACUCUUUAUUUAGAAAAAACGGUUUGUGAAAAACCAAACCUGGGUUUGGGGGGUUAGGUUACUUAUUGAGAAGGUAGGGUAAAGACCGUAGCACCCCUCUAAACCCCUAAAAAUGGGUCUCUACUAAAUAAGGUGAGUCAAACCUGACAAUUAACUAGGAGAUCAAUGGAUACUAAAAUGAUCAUAGGUCAAAAGCAAGUCAUGAUAAUGAAUAAAUAAAAAAAGUGAGAGUGAGAACGUACCUUGACAGUAGGUAAUAAAGCGUUAUCAUGGAAACAAGGUUAGCUUAAGUAUAAAUUUAUUACACGCAUAUCAAAGAUCAAGACAAAAAUCAAGCAAUAUUCGUUAAGCAUAACAUUUGACAAUCAGAAGAGAAAACUCAUAUGUGGGACCCCCACCAAAGCCCAAUUUAUCUUGCACGAAUUAGUCUCACAAAUUUCAUUAUUUUGGAAUUAUGAAAAAUUCAUUUUUGCUUAUUUAAAAUAAAGAUAAACAAAAAAUUAUUUGAUAAUUGAAGAAAAUUUGUACAUGUGCAUACCAAAAUGAGAAUGGUAGCAGACUCAUUAAAAUCAGGAUUUUUGGCAACCUAAAACCCUAAUAAAUGAUGAAAAGUUGUAGAAAUUAAAAAAUAUUUGAAAAUUGGAGUGGAAUUAAAAUUGUUCAAGAGAAAACUAGAGUUUUGAAAAUUGAAGUCUAAAAAAUUAUUUGAGAAUUGGAGUUUUGAAAAUUAAAUUUAAGAAUUUAAAUUUUUAGAAAUUAAAUUUGAAAGAAAUUUGAAAUUUGAAAAUUAUUUGAGAAUUGGAGUUUUCAAAAAUUAAAUUUAAGAAUUGGAAUUUUGGAAAUUAAAUUUUGAAAGAAAUUGGAAUUUUGAAAAUUAUUUGAGAAUUGGAGUUUUGAAAAUUAAAUUUAGGAAUUGGAGUUUUGGAAAUUAAAUUUGAAAGAAAUUGGAGUUUUAAAAAUUAAUUGAGAAUUGAAGUUUUGAAAAUUAGUUUUAAGAAUUGGAAUUUUGGAAAUUAAAUUUGAAAGAAAUUGGAAUUUUGAAAAUUAUUUGAAAAUUGAAGUUUUGAAAAUUAAAUUUAAGAAUUUGAAUUAAAUUUGAAAGAAAUUGGAAUUUUGAAAAUUAUUUGAGAAUUGAAGUUUUGAAAAUUAAAUUUAGGAAUUGGAGUUUUCGAAAUUAAAUUUGAAAGAAACUGGAGUUUUGAAAAUUAAUCGAGAAUUGGAGUUUUGAAAAUUAGUUUUAAGAAUUGGAAUUUUGAAAAAUUAUUUGAAAACAAAAGUUUUGAAAAUCAGAAUUUCGAAAAAUUAUUUGAGAAUGGAAUUUUUAAAAGAUCAAUUUUUUAACAUAAAAAGAUGGAUUAGGAGGGUGACACGUCAAACAUUGGAUAGCAGCCCUCUAGAGUGGAAUCCCAAGGUUCUCCUCAAAAAAUACCUCAAUGCCUAAAUGGCUAAGCAUCUGUCUAAAAAAAAAAAGUAGCAAUAGUAGGUUUUCCAUUUGUUCCAGUCACUACUAAUAUCUUAAUACUUCUUGGAAGAAUUUCUGCAGCAAAAUCCAACUCAGACAGUAUUCUCUUCCCUGAUUGCAACAAGAAGGAAAGUCCAUGACUUUCCAAGGGAACUCUUAGUGAAACAACUACCAUUUCGGCAUCCUUGAGAAGCUUUGUGUCAAAAUGUCCAAGAACGAUUUUCAAAUGACCAUGCUUUUCAAACAGGAGAUCGAGCUCUAGCGAGAGCAAGCUUUGUUGCAGCUCUACCAGAUUUUCCCAACAAGAAAACAGGAAGCUCUCAACCAAACCCAAAUUCACGAAAGAGAAUCAAACCAUAUGGGAAACAUCCGGAUCGGCGCGGUAGCUACAGUCUUGUAACAAAUCUCACUUGGGGUCUAGAGAUUCAUGCUACCUCAAGCUUUUUCUUAUCAGCCUCAUCAUCCCAUGGUUUCACAUCCUAGUGUACAAUCGCAUACCCAAGAAUGCACAAACACAAGGAGUAGGGAGAAAACAACAAAAACAUAGCACAAAUGAAGAAAAUAAUAUGAACCAUCAAAAGCCACACUUCAUGUCUUAGUCAGUGGACUUAAAGAUAGGUGGAUUAAAAGGAUUUCUAAAUGUCACAAAAGAGAUAAAAAUUAGUUGGACCAAUUUUUGAACACAAAUUGGAGGAACAAAGGAGCCAUUAACUAUGAAAAAAAAAAUAAAGAUUGGUCGUAUUGGAGAAAGACAACAUUUGGUAUUGCAGAAGAGAGACAACAUUGUGUCACAUGAUGCAUGCACAAAUGACCCUUCCCAUGGGCUUAUAUUGGAGGUGGGAAGCUUCUGAAAACUCCUUAAGCCAUCUAUACUAAGCUAUUGGUGGGAAGAGUGUGGAAGCUUCUUAAAAAGCCUAGGGAUGUCCACAUAUCUCUACAUUAUGGUGGAAGGCAUGAGAAAAGUCUAAGACUUUCUAGAGAGCUCUAGAGGUCUCUUGUAUAUUCUUGUAUGUAAGCUUGUACAUAGAAUUAUAUAGGGUGUUCUAGAAUAUCCAUGAGUUGUAAGGAACCCUCUAAGGUUCUAGAGAGUUCCAUUGGUGUUUAUAAAUAAGUGAGGGUCUCAUUUGGCCAAGGCACCAAGCAAGUGAGUUUCCAAGCAUUAUAUAGCUUUCUUUGAAAGCAGUAAAACUUCUAUUAUUUAAGUGUUGCCUACUACGCCCUCUAAAGUUUUUAAGUUGGGUGCGUCUUAGCGUAGCAAGCUAAGUAUUAGGAGUAAUGUUAACUUAUCAAGAUCAAGGGUCUUGACUUGUCUAAGUGUCGCACAAGCUUAGGAAAAGACUAAGUUUAUGACAGUUGGCAAUAGGUUGUGGAUAAGUGGUGGUGGUGAUGUGGAGAAAGUGAAGGAAACAUAGAAAAAUAAAGACGGGAAAGGAAAAGAGAGAGAAAAAAAGACUACUAGGUAGGGGAAGCUAUGAGCGGUGGCCAACGACGACACUAAUGGAUAAUGUCGUCAAUAGUGGCGGUAGAUUCGAUGGAAGCGGUAGAUUCGGUGGGAAGUGAGAGGUGACGGGGAAUUGAACUUUGGUUCUCCUCCCAUUGCAAUCACCAUCAUUCUCAUUUUCCGCUUAGGAUCAAUGUGCCCCCUCUAAACAACAUUGACAACCCCGUCAUCUUUUUCAUUUCUAGUGUUGUUUUCUAUAAUUGGAACUAGGUUUUCAAAAACAUCAACUAUCUUUGGAGGAGUAGUACUAGUAUUGUGAAUGAUUGAAACUGUGAUUUCAAAAUUAGGUUGGGUUCCAACAUAGAGGUAAUAGAGGUUGUUAAGCCUUUAGGAAGACAUGCACAAGUGAACAAUGUUCUUAGAGAUUAUAAUGGUGGAAGAAGGCCAUAAGAAGACAAGAAAAGAAAAGGGAAAAGAGAAAAGGACUCUCUUUCACGCCACCUACCCAUUUUCAGUGUUGACACCUUUCUCCCAUUGGCAUCAUCCUCUCCAAUCGUCACCUACCAAUCAUCACCACAUCUCUUACUUUCAUGACAAUUUUUUUUAAGAUAAUUUUGGAACAAAUUCAAAAACAUUGUUAGAGUGCAUGCAUUAUUAAAUUUUUUUCUCCACUUUAUACUUAAAAUGAAAAGAUAAAAGCAAAAUUCCAUAAACCUUAUAGCUCGUUUAACCAUAUAACUUAAAAACAAUUUUUUUAACACUUUCAAUUGUGGUUGUUCAUUAUUCUCAAAAAAAAAUAAAAAAUAAAAUAAAACUAGAUUGAAAAAAAAAUCAGGAAACAACCUCAUUGAUUUAAAUUAUUAUUUAAUUACUCCCAUAAUCGUAUGAUUAUUCUUAUGUUUUUGUUAUGUUAUAUUAACAAGUGAAUACUAUGUUGUUAAUUCUGGAUAUCCUUGUACUAUAGGUUUUCUUCCUCCAUAUUGAGGUAAAAGGUAUUAUUUGUAAGAUUAUCCUAGCAGAAGUUGUUAAUCGAAGACUAAUAAAGAAUUGUUCAAUUAUAGGCAUUCUCGUUUAUAAAUAUAAUUGAGUAUUGUUUUGUGUGUUAAAAGCACAUUUUUCAGUUUUAAAAAUGAUGUCAUCUUACAAACCAAGUAGACAACUAUAAAUAGUUGUAGCUUGUUGUACUCUUUAUAAUUUCAUUCAUAAAUAGACUUAAAAUGAUGUUAUGUUUAGACAAUGGGAAGAAGAACUUGAAUUUGAAGAUAAGGACGAUACUACAAUUGAAGUAAGUUAUGCAAUGACUUUAUCAGAUGAAACAACAACGACUAUGAUAGCUUAUCGAGAUCGUAUUUCAUAGUAGAAAUGGAAUGCUUAUGUUAAUAGUUUGUAAACAUUAGUCAUUAAAUAGUUAUAUUAAUAUACGAAGUAAGGAUGUGAAAUAUGAAAAUUGUUUAACUAUUAUAAUUGACUUGAAGUAUUUUGUGUGUACUUGGUUUGCAAUUGUUUUUGUUUCAAUUUAUUUUAUUUUAUUUGUUUUUCCUAUUAAAAAAAUCAAUCCAACUAUUUAUUUUACUCUCAUUAAAAAAUGACUAUUAAAAUUAUUUUUAAUCUUAUAGUAAUUUUUGUUUUAUUUGAAUAAAAAAAAUUGUUUAAUAAUUAAAACAAUUAUUUAUCUAUAAUUUAUAUAUAAUUUGAAUUUUAUUUAUUUAUUUUUAGUGAGAUUUAACUUGAAUGUGAUUUAUAUUAAUGUAAAUUAAAUUUUAAAAAUAAAAAUAGAAAAAUUGUUUUUAAAACCAAAGUCGAUUCUUUUAUACAAACAAGUUUUUGUUUUUUAUCUUUAAAAAUUAUUUUUGAAAACAAUUGGCCAAACAAUUUUUCUUUUUAAAAAAUACUAAAAAUGCCAUUUUUUAUUCUUUAUCUUAAAAAUAAUUUUUUAAAUUAAAAAACACAAUCAAACACCUUAUUUUGUUUUUAUUUUUGGUGUCUGGUUGCAUAAUUUUCCCAUUUUUUAAAACUGAAUUUCAAGCAAGCUCUUAAUUAUGUAAUUAAAAACUUGUUUGGUAGUAAUUUUAAGAAGCGAUUAUAAUAUUCCUAACACUUAAAAAAAAAAUUAUUUUUCAAGUAUACAACGUAGAAAUACUUGUGAGGAUCACUGCUACACAUGCUCUAUGUAGACAUAUCCCACUUCUAAGUUCUAACUCUUCAACGUCUGAACUCUUUUGAUGAAAUCCACACUCAAACCACCCAAAUCCAAGUCCCAAAUGCAGCCACUGCUUCAUCCAGGUCUGCUUCAUUCUCAUUUCAUCACUUCCUUUUUCUAUUAAUUAUUUUAUGAUUGUCCUUUUUGUUUCUUUUGUAUGAAUCCUAAGUGUCUUAUUGUUUUCCAUGGGCAGAAAAUACUUCCAUGAGAAAUUCUUCCCCAGAAAAUUUCCCCAACCUUGUCUGGUAAUAUACCCAUGUUUUUUUCCUAAUCUUUUGCGUCAAGCUUGGAAACUUCUGCUUCUGUCUUGUGCCCCUUAUGAUGGGUUUUGGAGUCAAAAUAAGAGACGUAAUGAUGAAUUCCAGAUAAUCCAUAUCUUAAAGUGAGAAAAUAUUCAAAAAAGAAUUUGUUGUGUUGAGAGGGAUUGCUUGAGAAGUUCAGGAUUAGGGAAUUAUUUUAUCUCAGUAUGGUUUAGAAUUCCAGUUUGGCAAAUUCAGGAUUCAGGACUGGCUUUGGGCUCAAAAUGAUUUGGGGUUUCUACUCAGAAACAUCCAAAAUUGAACUAUUUGACAAAUUUGGGGUGUGGGAGCUGUUCCUUUGUGGGAUAUUUGUGAAUGAUUAUGGAAUUGCUGAACUGUAUUACAUAAAUUCAAAUUUUAUUUGCUUGAUGGGGAAUUGGCCUGGGAAAAGAUAGCUGAUCACAUUAUCCCACCUUUGAUAUCAGCUGUUGCUUUGAUUCUCAAACUUUUAAAUGGAGAAAUGACUGUUGUAGAGAAGAAUAAAGGGAUAAGGUUUUGUUUGGUGGACUUGUUUUCCAUGUUUCUUCUCCUCUAAAGGUUAGGGGUGAAAGCAACUUAUAGUUGAUGGUUGUCUUCAGAAAUAAGCUGAUCAUAUCAUAGCUGACCGAUUUCUUCUUUGGCCAUCUUGAAGCAAUUUUAGUAUUUAUUUUAUAAGCUGAUUUUGGUGUCCAAGAAAUUAUUCUUAACAUAAUUAUUUUUUUUUUAAAAUAUCAAUUAUAUUUGAUUGGUAUUAUCAAUUAUGCUUUGCGGACCAAGCAUGACUCAUCUUAUUUGGGCCUCCCACUACUUUAAUCCUACACAGAUGACACAUUUUUAUUAAGAUCCAGAUCCUAUUAUCAUGGACUGGGCAAUGGAGGCUCAGAUCCGGCCGUAAUCAGACAAGCUGCUGGGCCGCCAUGGCUGCAACUACGGUUGCCUGUAAAAUGAAACCCAUUUCACAGAUCAUCCGGGUUGCCCCACCAAGAAACGAGCCCUUCAUAAUCUCUGAUUUACUUGAAAAGUAUCAUCAUAUCCCCUCGAUUUUCUCAUUGGGAACCAAACAGAUCGAGGACCCUUUGAAGGACCCUAAAUACAUCCAACCAAACAAUCAUAAAUAAAUAAAUAAAGAUGGACAUCACGGGUCCAGGGAGGGCUCAGAUCCGCCUGUAAUCAGACAAGAUCCAUGUUCGCCAUGGCUGCAACUACAGUUGCAUGUGAAAAAAAGGGCAUAGAAACCCAUUUCACACAGUCCGGGUCGCCCUUGGAAAGUGUCAUCACAGCCACUUAAUUUUCCUGCACAUUUUCUCAGCAACCAAAUAGAUACAGAUCCUUCUCAGAAAACACAUUUUAAAACACAAACAAAUAAACCAAAACAAAACAAAGACCAGACUCAGCGCGGAAGUGCAUAGCGCGUAAAAGGAAGGCUCAGAUUCGCCUUUUAUCAGACAAGAAAAAGAUGACCGUCCUGGCUGCAACCACAGUUGCUUGUGAAACAAGGCACAAAAGGUCGCCCAAACCAUCCGGGUUGCCCCGCCAAGAAACGGACAUUCCCAGUGCCUGACUUACUCUGAAAACGUCAUCACAGCCUUUUAUGUUGCCCAUAUGAACAGAGAGAGAGCGCUGUUGAUUUUCCAGAGAAUCAAGACAGCCUCUGAUGUACAUGUACACACGUGUAUGAGAAGCCCUUUUCUGAAGUUCCCAAUAUUUCCUACCAGUCCAGCCCGCGCACAGGAUACAAAUUUUUUUUAAAACAUAUGAUGUUAUUUGGUAAUCUGAUCAUGAUUUGCAGGCAAAGGUCGUGUUUUCCAGCCUGGCUCAAAAAUCGUGGAUUUAGGGUUCGUGAAAUUUAAAUCCAAUAGCACAAAAGCAAAGAGACCCCUAGAACAGAUCCAGAAAACACAGGGAGCAAAGAAAAAAACAAUUUUUUUGGUUUUCGUGGGGGGUUUUGCAUGGAUUUUCUCGGAAAUCAAACGAGGAUGAAUUUUCCCGGAAAUCGAAAGGGGGAUGGAUUUUCUUGAGAAUCAAACGGGGGUUGCAAAAAAAUAAUAAUAAUAACAUGAUUAGAUUAGUACCUGCGAGGAUUGAGAGUGGCAGAGGAAAAUAGGGCCUUUUUAGGGAUUCUCUCGUCCGGAGGGCAACUUCAGAAAAGGACUUCUUGAUGCCCGAGUGAGAGAAGUGGAUGGCCCUUUCGAUUUUUAUAUUUAGUAGAGAGAGAAAACAAGGGAAACAAAUCAUGAGAACAAUUUCGCCAUGGCUGCAACUACAGUUGCACGUGAAAAAAGGGCAUAGAAACCCAUUUCACAGACAAUCCGGGUCGCCCAGCCAAGACAUGGGUCCUUUCAAAUAUCUGAUUUACUUGGAAAGUGUCAUCACAGCCACUUAAAUUUCCUGCACAUUUUCUCAGCAACCAAACAGAUACAAUAUCCUUCUCAGAAAACACAUUUUAAAACACAAACAAAAAAACCAAAACAAAACAAAGACCAGACUCAGCACGGAAGUGAAUAGCGCGUAAAAGGAAGGCUCAGAUUCGCCUUUUAUCAGACAAGAAAAGGAUGACCGUCAUGGCUGCAACCACAGUUGCUUGUGAAACAAGGCACAAAAGGUCCCAUCGCACAAACCAUCCGGGUUGCCCCGCCAAGAAACGGACAUUCCCAGUGCCUGACUUACUCUGAAAACGUCAUCACAGCCUUUUAUGUUGCCCACAUGAAGAGAGAGAGAGCGCUGUUGAUUUUCCAGAGAAUCAAGACAGCCUCUGAUAUAUAUGUAUAUAUAUAUAUAUAUACACACAUGUGUAUGAAAAGAAAGAAAAGAAAGAGCGAAGGAAAAGGGCAGUUGAUGGGCGUAGUAGAAGGAAUCAUCGGCUCCGACGACCAUGAGAUUCAGAGAGGGGCAACCACCCUUAGAAACUCCCCAUCCCUCCGAGACAGUCACAGGAGCCUCAGUCUUAAACUAAUGAGGUUGAGCCCUAACUUUUACUCAUCCUUCCCCUUUUAUAGUACUCCCUGUCUUCUUCUUUGCUUUUAUUUUAUUUUUUUGACCUUUCUACCCUCACUAAUCCCUGUGUCGAAUUUGGGGGAAAUUUCCCGAUAUUUCCUACCAGUCCAGCCCGCGCACAGGAUACAAAAUCUGUGCAAUUUUUUUUAAAAAAAACAUAAGAUGUUAUUUGGUAAUCUGAUCAUGAUUUGCAGGCAAAGGUUGUGGUUUUCAGCCUGGCUCAAAAAUCGUGGAUUUAGGGUUCGUGAAAUUUAAAUCCAAUGGCACAAAAGCAAAGAGACCCCUAGAACAGAUCCAGAAAACACAGGGAGCAAAAAAAAUAAAGCAAUUUUUUUGGUUUUCCUUUGGUGGUUUUGCGUGGAUUUUCUCGGAAAUCAAACGAGGAUGAAUUUUCCCGGAAAUCGAAUGGGGGAUGGAUUUUCUUGGGAAUCAAACGGGGGUUGCAAAAAAAAAUAAUGUACCUGCGAGGAAAAUAGGGCCUUUUUAGGGAUUCUGGAGGACAACUUCAGAAAAGCGGAUGUUCGAUUUUUAUAUUUAGUAGAGAGAGAAAACAAGGGAAACAAAUCAUGAGAACAAUUUUCCUCUCUCCGUAUAAAUAAUUAUUAAUUAUCCAUCUUUAUUUUGAUUAAAUCACUACCAAAAUUUCGAUUUUUAU
Molecule: long non-coding RNA, 27095 nt
Filed under: Vitis vinifera (wine grape)
Lineage: Eukaryota; Viridiplantae; Streptophyta; Magnoliopsida; Vitales; Vitaceae
Description: long non-coding RNA (VVIN_LNC003458)
Source: RNAcentral